AUCAGCGCAAUAUGCGGCAAGUCCAGGCGGCUCAAGAGGCCAGGUUCCACGCCGUUCUGGAGGAGAUGGUGAUGGCCUUCAAGGAACCUCCUGAGCACCCAGAGCCUCCCGAGGCUCAGGGUCCCGGUGGCUCAUGAGGAGUCAUUCCUUCGAGGCGUGGCUUCAGGUGCACCAGCUUUACUUCAUCUACAGACCCAGGUGACAUCUAUGAAGUUCAUUUAAGCUGGGAGCACCCCUCGGGCUGCACUAUUCCCAGGCCACGUUGGUCCGUCCCUGUGGCAUGUAUCCCUUUUGCUUAUGUUCCUAAGUCUACCUCGCUGGGGGCGCCCCACGGGCUGCAUCAUCCCCAUGCCGCUCGGGCCAGACCCAGUGGCAUGUACCUUCUUGCAUUUAUCUCAGGCAAUCUGCUCUUCAUGAUUAACCUGCCAACUACUAUCACCUGCUUGAUCAUCACCCCCCUCGGGGCCCCUACACAGGCACGGCGCUGGUGCAUGGGUCCAUCCCUGCCACGACCGACAAAUCUGAGUGGUCGAGCUCUGACUCGCGGCACGCGCCGUGCAUGUCACCUCAUCAGGCCCUCAGUCCUUUCACUUCAUACGGACCAACCAGCGGCAGGCAGGCGGCAGUAACGACAAACCAUGUUUCUCCUUAUGCCUGUUCACAUGAACCCCGUGGAAAGGAUAGCAGGCAGCACCACGAGUCUCCUUUCCUCUCGCGUGACUCGCUUGCGUGUUAAAAGGGGGGCUCCUGAGCAUCGCGACUCAGGAGCUCUUACUGGCUCUCCAGCCCUCACCCCCUGGCCUUGACCACGGCAUCGCGACAUGGCAUACCAGCGGCGGCUGAGCUCGCUCGAGGGCUAGGACCUGAGGACAUAGAGCAUUAAGAGGGGCUCGGGAGAAGGAAAACUCGCACGGGCCGGCCUAGCUAUGUCACGUAAGUUGGCGCGCAGCCCUAGCACAACAUCGGGAAUCAUCCCCAAGUCAUCAAGAUAAGUUUCGCCCUCAGAUCAUCAAAACAUUUGGGCCUAAUAGUCACUCACCCCAUGCCGCAACCCCGUUGCGGCCAAGUCACCUUCCUUUAUUUCCUUCCAUGGCCGCUUGGGCGCUAAGGGGGACCUCCUGAGCAUCGCGCCUCAGGGGCUCUUACUGGACCUCGGGCCGCGCACCUCCUGGCCUUGACCACGGCAUCGUGACCUGGCAUACCAGUGAUGGCUAUAGCUGCCUUGGGACCGAGACCCGUCAGCGUAGAGCAACAAGCUAUCGCGAGGAAAGAAAGGGGAGGCCGAGCCUUAACGGGAUGUGCGUUCGUCAAAUCUUCAUAACAAGGAAAAAAGGUACCAAGGCAUUGCAUAUCCUUACAUGCCCCCACGGGGUGAUUCAUGAUCCUACGGAGGAAACAAAAGCUGAUGCUAAGGGGGAUCCUAUCUACAUCCUCCCGUGGCGAACGCCAUCAUCAACAGUGGGCCACGGGAGGCCGGCGCCAGCCCCAUCCAAGAUCAGCGGGGGCGGCGGCCGGACGCCGCAGCCUUGCUCCGUGCACGGCGAGAACUCGGGGGGACAUAGCUGUCGUCGCUCAUCUUCGGAGUCUCGUAGAGCUCAGGAGAACUGCUAGACUCCCAAGGGCUGCUGCUGCAGGAGUAGUCGCGGGCAAAGCGCGCAUCAGCCUCGCGCUCUUCUCCAGAGCAGCACUCCAGCCGGCGGCCCUCGGCGUCGAAGACCUUGAAGAGAAGCAUGGAGGCACCGUCGUACUCGAAGUGGAUCGUGAGGGCACCCCUCGCGCGACAGAACCGUGCAAUCUCGCCCCAACCGCGAAUCAUGAAGAUUUUGCCAACGGGGACCACUUCGAUCUUCGCUCUGAUCGCUGGAGCGCCACAAUCGGCAUGUUGCAGCCAGAACUCGAGAGGCCCCCUCAGUGGCAUCACAUCAGAGAAGAACCGUGGGAAGCGGAUCCAGGAGUUCGAAGGCAUCGGCGUCCACCGCACUGGCUCGCGCGAGGAGUUCGCCGCACGGACGGCCCGCGUCGCCGAGGCGCGGCGACCCCGGGUGCGGUGUGGGUGACGCUGCUCGCCACUUCGUCCUCCUGAGCCUACGGCUUGGGCGUACAAGGGUAGUGGGUACCCCGGGGGAGCCUCUCGCACAAAGGCCUUGCCACCACCUCCAACGCCGCCUCGUCAUGGCGAUGGAUCGACCUCUUCUUUGGUGGGAGUUGCUCCGGGGCAUCCCGGGGGGCUUUCCCUUCUCCUCGGCGGAGAAUCUUCUGAUGGGCGCCAUUGGAGCAAGCAGUGGAGUGAGAAGGAGGAAGCAAGCAAGGAAGAGAUGGGCAACGGGGGCACUUGCAUGUCGCAUGGACUUGUCAAGUCGUGUAGUCGCCGAAGCAGCAUGGGGAAGCGAAGACGCCCACGUCCAAUCAACCGCCACGCGUCAACCGAGGCCGCAGGCUUUUGGGGCCCGCGGUGCUUCGAGCUUGACCCUUGGCUUCGCCGCAAAGCCAAGCCUGCAUGCACCUUGGGCCCGGGGGCUACUGUCGGUGUUCUAGGAGCGGGGGUUCCCAGACUUGCCUGCCUGCGGCCCGCUGCGAGGCUGAGCCAGUAGGCCGUACGGCCCAUCUUCACCAACAAAGCACCCAAGACCCUCGCGAGGGGCCAAGCCUCGCGAGGCGGACGACACAAGACCUCCUCUGGAGUGGCCUAGCUAGGCAGGCUCACGAGGAGCGGAGAUAUCAAGGCGAGGCGAACCUCACGAGGCUCUCGUGAUAUGAGCCGUGACGAUCGAUGCCAGGCGGGCGUCAGCGCGCACAACGUCCUUGUUUCCUCUUUGGUGCAAAGGGGGCAAGUGCAGCCCCGAAGUACCGAGGCCUUAGGCAAAGGUUGCCAUUUUGGUGCAACAAGACCAAGACCAUGGACUGCAAGACAGAGGUCAUCAUGGAGCCCAGAACAGCGCCACCACCAGAACUUUGUGCAGGCGAAGACUACUUUUGUCAGGAUAGCUUGUACUAGCUGUCCCCCUUCAAAUUAGCCCACCAUUGUUGGAUCCCUUCCCGCUCGAUAUUUGGGAAGAGGACCAGGGCCUCUAUAAAUAGGACUAGCCACCAUAGUGGAAAAAGGGAGAAAGAGGAGAGAGGGGACGAUCUCAUCUUUGCUUGAAAGAGACCACCGCCAUACACACAAGCUCACCAAGCUCAAGAGCGCCCCAACCUCAGGAGGCCAUUAUUCCUAUGUAUUGUUCAUCAUCAUCCCAAGAGGCAAUCCACCACCACACUGGAGUAGGGUAUUACACCACAACGGUGUCCCAAACCAGUAUAAACCCUGUGUCCAUCUGUGUUGUGAGUUCGUUGAGUUCGUCCGCGAGAUCCUCGCAAGCUAGAGCGUAGAUCGGUUGAAGGGAAAGACUUCGCGCACACCCAAGUGUUCGAACCUUAAGGGUUUGCCAGGACCCCAUACCCUGACAACAAGUACCCCGAGAACGUCUGUACCUCUACCGUCGUCGUGGAUCCAACAAAACCAAGUGUACAACUACCGGUGCCCCGAAGGCAUUGGAUUCGUCAAGUACCUCUCUGAAAAUGAAUGUGUACCACUACUUCCACUUCCGUCACAAAGGACCGAUAGUACCACUACUUCCCAUGAUGGCCCGUGAACGAUUACACCACUUGAUCCAAACCACCCCGGAUGCAUGCUUCGACGGAAUAACCCAGAGACGCCCGUGAACAAAUGCUUGUGUGAUGCAUGAGAUGCACCGCUUGUUUCACCCUGCCCGAGUUGUCAUUGCACAGUCCUCCUCAUUUGCCACGCGUCAAACUUUGGGAACCUAGUAAGCGGGAUCACCCGACCAUAUUUUUCAUGUUUCGUAGAUCCACACUUUUGUUUGCACCGACAUCUUGAUGAGUUGUCGGAUCAUCGGAAUGUUGCCGUGGCACCAUCUCCGUUGUCGUUGCCGUGGCUUCCCUUUCGUUCCGCCAUGGUGACCAAAUGCUGCAUAACAUGCUCAUGUUAACUUUUUCAUAAACAUUGCAUAAAACUUGUAUAUGUCAUUCGCAUCAUGAUAACAACAUUUAAAUGUUUAAAAUUGUUGUUUGCAUCAAAUUGCUAAUUGACAUGUGGGGAUUUACCGGAAUUGUUAUUUGUUAUUUCCGGCCACAUUUAAACUUGCCUAAAUAGUUAGUAUAUUUAUGCCUCACCUCUUGCCAUGUUAAACAACAUUCAAUAUUGUUGAGUACCUAAAUGGGAGUGAACUAAAUAAUCGAAUGUGGUGUUUCAUCAACAUGCAUCUUGUUACAUGUUGAGCUCCACUUAACUUGUAGUUUUGUUUGUGCACUUUGCCAUUGCCAUGCAUAUCUAAACCGGACAUGCAUCAUCCUUGGUUGUGCAUCAUGCCAUGGCUAUGCUUGUGCCUUUACCAUGUUGCUUGCUUCUUUCCAGUUUGCUUCUCUCAUUAGCUUCGGUUUCAUUCCGGAGUUGUGGGGAUUCGUUCAACUACGUCUGUUUUGUCUUCUUCAUGGACUCAUUCUUAUUCCUUGCGGGAUUUCAGGCAAGAUGACCAUACCCUCGAUAUCACUUCUAUCUUUGAUUGCUAGUUGUUCGCUCUAUCGCUAUGUCAUGCUACCUACCACUUGUUAUAUCAUGCCUACCAUGUUGCCAUGUCAAGCCUCUAACCCACAUUCCUAGCAAAGUGUUGUGUGGCUAUGUUAUCUCUUUUGCUCAUCCCCUCUUAUAGCGUUGUUAGUUGCAGGUGAAGUUGAAGAUUGUUCCAUGUUGGAACAUGGAUAUGUUGGGAUAUCAUAUUAUCUCUUAUUUAAUUAAUGCAUCUAUACACUUGGUAAAGGGUGGAAGGCUCGGCCUUAUGCCUGGUAUUUUGUUCCACUCUUGCCGCCCUAGUUUCCGUCAUACCGGUGUGAUGUUCCUUGAUUUUGCAUCCCUAACACGAUGAGGGGUAUGGGACCCUCUUGACAGUUCGCUUUGAAUAAAACUCCUCCAGCAAGGCCCAACCUUGGUUUUACAUUUGCCUAACAACCUAUAACUUUCCCUUGCGGUUGCAAACCCGAGGGUCAUCUUUAUUUUAACCCCCCGAGCCAGUGCUCCUCUAGGUGUUGGUCCGAAAUGGGCAACCUGCGAGGCCACCUCGGGGAAACUUGAGGUCUGGUUUUACUCAUAGCUUGUCCUAUCUAGUGUGCCCUGGGAACAAGAUAUGCACAGCUCCUAUCGGGAUUUGUUGGCACAGUCGGCGGUCUUGUAGGUUUAGUUCUACCAUUGUCGAAAUGUCUUGUGCAUCGGGAUUCCGAGUCUGAUCGGGUGUCCCGCAAUGGAGGAUUGUCUCCGUGGACCGUGAGCUUGUGAUGGGCUCAGUUGGGACACCCCUGCAGGGUAUGAACUUUCGAGAGCCGUGCCCGCGGUUAUGUGGCAGAUGGGGAUUUGUUAAUAUCCAGUUGUAGAGAACUUGACACUUGACUUAAUUAAAAAGGUUCAACCACGUGUGUAGCCGUGAUGGUCUCUUUUCGGUGGAGUCCGGUAAGUGAACACGGUUUUGGUUUAUGUUUGUUCGUAAGUAGUUUCAGCAUCACUUCUUGAUCAAUUAUAGCUUCACGGACGUUGCGUAGCUUCUCACCUUACUCUUAUUUGCGUAUGUUAGCCACCAUAUUUUCUUAGCGCUUGCUGAAGCUCCACCUCAUUACCUUAUCCUACUCAUAAGCUUAAAUAGUCUUGAUCUCGCGGGUGUGAGAUUGCUGAGUCCUCGUGACUCACGAAUACUUCCAAACAGUUGCAGGUGCCGAUGAUACCAGUGCAAGUGAUGCUACCGAACUCAAGUGGGAGUUUGAUGAGGACCUUGGUCGAUAAUAUGUUUCAUUUCCUGAUGAUCAGUAGUGGAGCCCAGUUGGGACGAUCGGGGAUCUAGCAUUUGGGGUUGUCUUCUUUUAUUUUGGUUCCGUAGUCGGGCCUUGAUUGUACUCUGGAUGAUGUAUGUUUAACUUGUUAUUUGUGUGUAUUGGCGAUUGUAAGCCAACUCUUUGUCCCUUUCUUAUUCGGUACAUGGGGUUGUGUGAAGAUUACCCCUCUUCCGACAAAACCACCAUGUGGUUGUGCCUCUAAGUCGUGCCUAGACACGUGGGAGACAUAGCCGCAUCAUGGGCAUUACAAGUUGGUAAUCGGAGACAUCCCCAACUUAGGAGCCCCUGCUUGAUCGAAUCGCUGAUGUUGUUGAGUCUAGAACAAAAAUGUUUUGAGUCUUAAGAUUAUAUAUAUCGGAGAGUAGGAUUCUUUUUACUCCUCAUUCCCUUCGUCGCUCUGGUGAGGCC
Molecule: long non-coding RNA, 6285 nt
Filed under: Triticum aestivum (bread wheat)
Lineage: Eukaryota; Viridiplantae; Streptophyta; Magnoliopsida; Poales; Poaceae
Description: long non-coding RNA (TAES_LNC001456)
Source: RNAcentral